This 484-nucleotide ribosomal RNA is filed under the name uncultured bacterium. RNAcentral describes it as "partial 16S ribosomal RNA". It matches the Rfam family "Bacterial small subunit ribosomal RNA", at positions 30 to 507 of the family's 1533-position model. The record is from RNAcentral.
AUUGAACGCUGGCGGCAGGCCUAACACAUGCAAGUCGAGCGGAUGAAGGGAGCUUGCUCCUGGAUUCAGCGGCGGACGGGUGAGUAAUGCCUAGGAAUCUGCCUGGUAGUGGGGGAUAACGUCCGGAAACGGGCGCUAAUACCGCAUACGUCCUGAGGGAGAAAGUGGGGGAUCUUCGGACCUCACGCUACCAGAUGAGCCUAGGUCGGAUUAGCUAGUUGGUGGGGUAAAGGCAUACCAAGGCGACGAUCCGUAACUGGUCUGAGAGGAUGAACAGUCACACUAGAACUGAGACACGGUCCAGACUACUACGGGAGGCAGCAGUGGGGAAUAUUGGACAAUGGGCGAAAGCCUGAUCCAGCCAUGCCGCGUGUGUGAAGAAGGUCUUCGGAUUGUAAAGCACUUUAAGUUGGGAGGAAGGGCAGUAAGUUAAUACCUUGCUGUUUUGACGUUACCAACAGAAUAAGCACCGGCUAACUUCGUG